Molecule: long non-coding RNA, 462 nt
Filed under: Marmota monax (woodchuck)
Lineage: Eukaryota; Metazoa; Chordata; Mammalia; Rodentia; Sciuridae
Source: RNAcentral
CUUAAAAUGAUGUUUUAAAGGAACAAAUUUGUUUUGUGGAAUAUUUUUAUAAACACAAUUCCCAGUUGAAAAAGUGGCUUGAUUAGAAUAAAAAGUAAACAAGCAUUUCAACCACUGAAAGGGACUCUAAGUAGAUUUCAUUAUUACUACCUUGUUCCUAUUCCACUGUUUCCUUCCCUACUUCUGUAUUGAGAUGAGUUCUUGAAGUUCAUCUCCCAUCAUGCCACUACCUCUGUAAACAUUCCCUUCUUGAAAGAAUUGUGUUCAACACUUUGUGAUCAUAUUAUUUUUUUUCUCAUCUUUCAACAUUUUAUUAAAAGCAGAUACUCUUGCCACAUUAGACUACAUGAGCAUUUCUAUAUAGGCUUUGUCUAGAAAAUCAUGGACCUUUCUCUUCCCUUUCUCUAUCAAAUCUUUGCAUUGUCAAAUGCUAUCUUCUUUAUAAGUCAUUUUCUAUCCUCC